Molecule: ribosomal RNA, 153 nt
Filed under: Schmidingerella taraikaensis
Lineage: Eukaryota; Ciliophora; Spirotrichea; Tintinnida; Rhabdonellidae
Description: 5.8S ribosomal RNA
Rfam family: 5.8S ribosomal RNA
About the family: 5.8S ribosomal RNA (5.8S rRNA) is a component of the large subunit of the eukaryotic ribosome.
Source: RNAcentral
AACUUUUAGCAAUGGAUAUCUUGGCUAUUGCAACGAUGAAGAACGCAGCAAAAUGCGAUACGUAGUGCGAAUUGCAGAACUCCGUGAAUCAUCAAAUCUUUGAACGCAUAUUGCGCUUCCGGGAUGUACUGGGAGCAUGCUUGUCUUAGUGUC